GAUGAAGAACGCAGCGAAAUGCGAUAAGUAAUGUGAAUUGCAGAAUUCAGUGAAUCAUCGAAUCUUUGAACGCACCUUGCGCUCCUUGGUAUUCCGAGGAGCAUGCCUGUUUGAGUGUCAUGAAUCUCUCAAACUCUUAGUUUCAUUACUGAGUGUUUGGAUUUGGAGGUCUAUGCUGGCGCAAGUCAGCUCCUCUUAAAUACAUUAGCUUGGGUCUUGCAUGUCUGGAUCCUUGGUGUGAUAAUUAUCUACGCCAUGAUGUCCCUUCAAGCCCUGCUUCUAAUCGUCUGAAUAAGACAAUUUAUUACUUGACAUCUGACCUCAAAUCAGGUAGGACUACCCGCUGAACUUAAGCAUAUCAUAAGCGGAGGA
RNAcentral lists this unclassified non-coding RNA (372 nucleotides) under soil metagenome. RNAcentral describes it as "partial contains 5.8S ribosomal RNA, internal transcribed spacer 2, and large subunit ribosomal RNA". The stretch from base 1 to 120 matches the Rfam family "5.8S ribosomal RNA", at positions 35 to 154 of the family's 154-position model. The record is from RNAcentral.